Molecule: ribosomal RNA, 450 nt
Filed under: uncultured bacterium
Lineage: Bacteria
Description: partial 16S ribosomal RNA
Rfam family: Bacterial small subunit ribosomal RNA
Source: RNAcentral
GUGGGGAAUUUUGGACAAUGGGCGCAAGCCUGAUCCAGCAAUGCCGCGUGCAGGAAGAAGGCCUUCGGGUUGUAAACUGCUUUUGUACGGAACGAAACGGUCCGGGUUAAUACCCUGGGCUAAUGACGGUACCGUAAGAAUAAGCACCGGCUAACUACGUGCCAGCAGCCGCGGUAAUACGUAGGGUGCAAGCGUUAAUCGGAAUUACUGGGCGUAAAGCGUGCGCAGGCGGUUUUGUAAGACAGGCGUGAAAUCCCCGGGGGCAACCUGGGAAUUGCGCUUGUGACUGCAAGGCUGGAGUGCUGCAGAGGGGGAUGGAAUUCCGCGUGUAGCAGUGAAAUGCGUAGAUAUGCGGAGGAACACCGAUGGCGAAGGCAAUCCCCUGGGCCUGCACUGACGCUCAUGCACGAAAGCGUGGGGAGCAAACAGGAUUAGAAACCCGGGUAGUCC